This 40164-nucleotide long non-coding RNA is filed under the name Chlamydomonas reinhardtii. RNAcentral describes it as "long non-coding RNA (CREI_LNC001046)". Lineage: Eukaryota; Viridiplantae; Chlorophyta; Chlorophyceae; Chlamydomonadales; Chlamydomonadaceae. The record is from RNAcentral.
GCACUGCUUGCCGCAUACCUAGGCCGCCCAUAGCGCGUAUAUCAUACACACAAGCCUCUAGGGCUCAGCCCCUAGCCUUACGAGCCUCGGCUCGUGAGGAAGCGCACAACAUUUUCGUUGGCGGCUUUGGCUUUCGUUACUAACUUUUUGUAGCCUUUUGCGGGCUCUGUGAGGCUUUACGACUUGGUUACGACUUGGUUUGGAUGGCUUCGGCCUUGGGUGGGUGCGUCGCGCCCUGUUUUCGGCAUCGCGCGUUCUGUGGCGGCUGGCCGCGUCUGGGUGGCCGGCCGCGCUCGUUCUGCUCUGUGGUCGCUUUUUGGUUUCGUGUGUGCAGGUUACGGGUGGCCCUGGUGGUCGCUCGUGGCCCGGCGCAAGCUUCGAUGUUCCGUGGUGCUCCUCGGCGCCUCUCCUCGUGCCGCCUGGCCCGCCGUCGUCUCCACCGGCGGCCUUGCUGGCUCAGCAGAUAGUUAGGUUGCGGGUGCCGUUCGUAGCAUGGCGGUUCAGGGACCGUUAGGCAGCAGGUGACGCUGGUCGGGUAGUCCCGGGUGUCGGGUUGUGAGUGCCCGGGCGGCUGUUGCCCGGGCGCCCGGGCGGCUGGUGCUCCUGUUCGCCUCCGGGCGCGCGCGUGCCUGUUUGAUGGGUCGGUCUAGUUCGCUGGUGGGGCGGGUGGAGGGCGGUGUGCCCGUGGCGAGGUGUUGUGGUGUACUGGUGGUUUGGUCAGUUUCCGGCUCGGUUUCCCUUUGUGGUGCCUCGGCACCGACGUUUCCGGACAUGGGCCUCCGGGCCAAGACAUUGCGCGUCUGUGACGCCGACGAGAAAAUGUGUGGUGCUUGCGUUUGAUGGGGAUGUCGGCAGACCUCUGGCCUGUCGCGCCUUGUUGUGCGUUGGUGCUGCCGCCAAAAGACCUAAACGAGAUGAGGGGUGUUACGUGGCGGUGGGGCUUUGGCGGGCUUCGGCUUGGCUUCGACUCAUGUGCGUAACACUAUGAAGGUCGGCAGCCAACCAGGGGGCGGGUGUUGUUUCUCUGGGUCGCAGAUGGCCCUUCGCGGCGUGGGUACGGCGUGCCCCCGCUUGUCGGGCUGUCCCUUCAAUUGUAAUCCGCAUCCAUACGAGCUUAUCAGGCGUUCUCUUAAAAAGUUGCGCUCAUAGCGACAUUUCAUAGCGCCAAGGGCUGCAGCGCAAGCAACUGCAAAAAGGCUCAGCUCUUCGCGCCUUUGCUUUUCAUCAGGCAACUUCACGUCAGGCGACAGGAGUUGCGUUCGCGACCACCAGGUCCGGUAGAGCCUUGGUGGCGACUGAGGGACUGCCCUUGGCGCAAGAAGAACCCCAGUCAGCGGGUCUUUGCGGAGCCGCGGCAGGUGCGCGCGCGAGAGCGCAAGCUGUGUGCUUAGACAGAUGAUGGAAGUUGCAUCCAUCAUCUUGGCCUUGGUUGCGGAGGCCUGGCCUGCGGUGCUGGCCUCGGGGGCUAGGCCGUUCUUUUUCUGCACCUAUGAGCUAUAUCGGACUCUCAGCUUACAACAUAGGCUGCAAACCUCAUUUGACCGCUGUUGCAGGCCUCGCUAAUUUGAAAGGCCUCCGACGCCAGCGCAACGAAAAAUGGCGCUCGCGGUGUCGACCAAUAUCGGUCAUCUGUCUACGGCACAGCGCGGAAUGCACGUUGGCUACCUGCACGGUGCUGCCCUACCUGCUUCUGAGCUGGCUGCCCACGCGGGAGCCCGGCUGCUCGUUUGCGCGGCGUCUGGUGAUGUUGCCCAGGUCGCGCGGUGCCUCGCGGACGGUGCAGAUCGGGACUAUCAGGACCCAAGCUCGGGGGAGACUGCGCUGCACAGGGCUGCACAGCGUGGGCAGGUGAGACACACUUUCGUUCCGGCAUGCGCAUGACAUCGAUUGCAUGCACACGCCAGCCACCGCUGCGGGAGGAAGGCCCGCCCAGGGAGCAAGAGGCGUGCUUACAAUUGGCACCAAGUGCAGCUCGAUCUGGUGCCAUAGAAGGAACUGCUGCGCCGGGCCCUGCCUAGUUGGUGUGGCGUUUGACCAACUGUCCAGGCAGGCACAGGCCCCAGCCCAGCCCUUGGUCCGCCUGCAGUAGUAGUCGCUCAUGUAUGCCGGCAACUGGCGUUACAGGCUGGGAGCGGAAGGGGGGGGGGGCGGGCGUGCCAACCGACGGCAGGAAUGGAGUUCACACGUGUGCGGGAGCGAGGAGAAAAGCGAAAGUGUGAACACGAACCGAGCAGCGGGCCAACCGAAGGUCGGCAUAUUCACACCCAUGCUCUCGCGCUGCUCCUGUUGACACCUGUUCAUAGCCAGCUGCUGUUGCUGCCUCAUUCUGCCCAGCCUGCUGUUCCUGCUCAUCCUGUUCAUGACCCCGCUCAGGUGACAAUGCUGGAGACGCUGCUAGCGGCUGGGGCCAACCCACACAGCGCCGACCGCGGCGGCCGCACGCCGCUUUUCGCCGCCGCCAACGCCGGCAGCCUGGCGGCCGUGCACACGCUGCUGGCGCACGGCGCCGUGCUCUUUCCCGCACCCUCCACCCUCCCCUCCUCCACUUGCACCCCCUGCUCCGGCGGCGCCUGCCGCUCCGGGACAUCUUGCUGCCACCCCAACCACCACCACGCCUCCGCCACCUCCACCUCCUCCUCCUCGCCUUCCUCCUCCUCGCCGCCUUCCUCUGCGGAGGAUGCUGAUGACGCGGCGUUCCUGGCGCUGCGCACCACCUGCCCGCUGGCGGCGGCCGCGGCGGCGGCGCGCUGGCCGCUGGUGGCGGCGCUGCUGGGGUCGCUGCCGCCCAGCUACCAGCAGCAGCCGGCGACGCUGCGGUCGCUGCGGUUCCUGGUGUGGGCGCUGGCCUCGCACAAAGCCUUCCCUCGCGAGGUGCGUGCAUGCGGCAGGGGUGCUGUGCUGUGGUGGGGUGGGGUGUGGGGUGGGGUGUCUAUUACAGGUCCCAAUUGGAGUGGGAUGGGACGUGGAGCGGGAGCGACGGUUGGGUUGCACGGCAAGGCACGGCAGGGCAGGGCUGGAUCGGGGCUCGUGUCAUGGCGAGGAGGCCGGAAGGGCGGGGCGGCGCUCUGGGCACCUGGCGGGUAUGGCGGCACGCCUGGUUGUGACACGCCGGGCCGUACAUGACACGUGUGCAUGCAGGUGAUUGCCCGGCUGCCUCGGCGGCUGCCCGCCUGUGUGCUGAACGCGGUGCGGCCCGCCACGUUGGCCUCCACGCCGCUGGUGCUGGCGGCGGGCAACGACCAGCAGCAGCUGAUGCAGUGGCUCCUGCGGCAGGUGUGUAUGGGGGGCGAGGGGGGGCGGGUGCGGGUGAGAGGCUGCGGGAGAUUGGGAGCGGCGGCGCCUCCCGGACCCGAGCCGCCCAUGCCUUUGGGGUUGACAGGGACUCGGGUGGUGCUGCCAAGGAAUCCGUUGUGUUGCCAUGUCUGCUGACGGCUAACGCCUGACUCCGGACGCCUUUGACCGCCUGUCCACUGGCAGGGUGCGGACCCGGAGCUGGGCGCGCCGCUGUUGCUGUGCGCGGGCCGCUUCUGCCGCGGCAGCCGAGCCUGCUGCGUCAGCACGCUGUUGCGGCUGGGCGCGGCGCCGCAUGUGGCGUGGGCCGACAACCCCUCCGACUCGCCGCUCAUGGUGCGCGGGCGUGCUUGGGGGAGAGGGAGGGGGAGCGGGGUACAGGCACAGGGCAGGUGGCGCAUGGGAGGACUGCGGACUCUCGGGGUGGAUGGGUCGGGAAGGAAAGGUUGUAUGUGGGUGUGUGUGGUGGGGGGGGGCUGUGUCGGAGCUGGAGGGUUGCAUGCGCCUGCAGGCACCCACCUGCCCUGCCCCCUCCCCCUCCCCAAUGCCUGAACCUUGCCAUCCCCAUCUCCACCCACCACCUGACAGCUGGCGGCUCGCGGCGACUGCUUCACGCACGUGCACUGCCUGGUCGCACACGGUGCUGACGUGUCCGGCGAGGCCGGCCGCGUGCGGGCGGCGCUGUACACCCCCGCCGCCUGGGAGCGCCACCUAGAGGCGAUGCUGACGUCACCGCACGCGGCGGCGCUGCUGGCGCAGCACGCGCAGCAGCAGGCGGCGGCGGCGGGCGGGGAGGAGGAGUGGGGCCUGCUGUGCCCCUGCGGCCAGUCGCAUGCGGCCUGGCCGGGCUUGUGGCCGUCGGAGGAGCCGGCGCGCGGCACCGGCGACGGCGCGGGGCCGGAGGGGCUUGAGGAGGCUCUUGAGGAGGAGGCGGGUGCGGGCGCGGGUGGGGGUGGAGGCCGGGCGGGGUCGCGGGAGGGCGGCGAGGGCGGCAACAGCUGCCACAACCCCACGCCCUCGGAUGACGCCUGGUACCGCCACCACCGCCUGGAGAUGGAGCAGCUGCAGGUGAGGGGGGCGGGAGAGCUUGGCGGGGGCGAGGAGGGGGGCGAGGCAGGGGAGCGAGGGGGCGAGGGGGCGAUGGGCAGGGGAGGGAGCGAGGGAGGGGAGCGAGGGGGCGAGGCGAGGGGGUGAGGGAGGGGGCGAGGGAGGGCCAGGAGGCGGCGGGGCAGACCUGAGGGAGGUCACCGCAUGGGCUGGCACGGCGCGGAUUGGGGUUGGCCGAGUGAUGUGCUAAAUGCUCUUGUUUCGGGACCAGGCGUGUACGCGUUCGGGGCGCUCGUCGGACGUCACGCCUAUUGAUCGCGUGUGUUGAGUUCGUUCGUUUGUUUGCUUCCCGGCCUCUCAGGACGGCGCCGAGCUGGCGGACUGCCGCAAGGCGGUGGACGACCUGUGGGCAUUUGGUUGCAGCGCCGUCACCGCCGAGCUCACAGCGGAGCUGGCGGCGGCGGCGGCGGCGGCAGCGGCAGUGGCCGCCCAGCAGGCGCAGGGGCAGCAGCCGCAGCCGGCGGCGCCGGUGCCGGUGCCGGUGCUGGCGCCGCACAGUCCGCUGCCGGCGGCCGUGCUUGCGGCGCUGGGUGAUGUGGCAGGCGGCUGGCUGGCGGCGGCGGCGCGCUGCCGCCAGCAGCGGCUGCUGCGAGCUGACCUGUACGACAAGGCAGUGGGUGCGGGGCUGCGGCUGCUGGAGCAGAAGCGCGUGGCGGCGCUGGCGGCGCUGGGCGGCGCGGGCCUGGCUUCGGCUCUGGUGGCAGAUGAGGAGGAGGGGCAGGAGAGGGAGGAGGGGCGGGCCGCGGGUGGCAGUUCCUUGGCUGUGGAGCUGAAGAUGGAGAUAUUGGCUCUGGCCGGCCUGGCGCCGCCGGGUGUGGAGGCGGGCCUGGCAGCGGCGGCGCGGCCGGCGCGGCGGGCGUGCGGCUGCGACGGCUGCUGCCCUGGCAGCUCCAGCGCAUGAGGCGCUGAGGCGGUGGUAGCCUCAGCAGUCGGUGCCGUUGGAGCAGCAGCAGCAGCAGCAGUGGGUGGCUGCGAGGGUGGCCGCGAGGCGGUGGGUGGGGUCGUUGGGGCCACGCGAUGGGAGGCGUGUGCCUGUGUUGGGUGCCUUGGCGGCACCCCGGCUUACUACAAUCGGAUAAGGGGCGGUGCUGGGGCCUUUCCCGCACUGCGAAAUAAAGCAUGGAUAAGCGUUCGUCCGCGCCUGAGACAUUAGCUUACAUGAGCAUAUACAGGACGCCGAUGCUGUUGCGUACAGAUACCUGCAUUUGGUUUAGCGCCGCGUGCGCUGUUGGUCAGUGCGGCGCGUUGUUCGUCGCGUUUUGGGUUUAGUAUGGUCACGUACCGUAUUUUCUUCUUACAAGAACGUUGGACCACGUCUGCAGUUCGCGGCACCACGGCUGGCAGCAGGCGGCUGGAUUUGGGCCGAACGCAUUUUGGUGUGGGGUGUGUGGUUCAUUGUAUGCGCCAUUAGGGAAUGGAGGUAUUGGGCACAUGGUGUGUGGGGUUGAUGCGGCAGUGGGCACGUGCUUAUGCGCCGCUGAGCUUGUGCGGUGUCCAGGUUUGGAAGGGCGGUUUCCGUGCGCAUCCGCCAUCAGCCGGUAUACGCGUGUCUUGGGUGUGGCAUGUGGGUCGCACACAGCAAACCGUCAGUAGUUCAGUUGCUAGGGAGGACGCGGCUCAUGCUGCCUGUGCGUUGGACGCGUUGGUGUCCAGCGCCCGGUGGUGGAAGCGGCUGUGCGCGUGGGUUGUACCAUAGCCUGUCAUAGUGUCAUUCCUUUCGUUGAAUUCGUACAAAGUGUACUUGAGAGAAGACUAAAACAACACGCACGCCGCGCAUGUGGCUUGCAAUAAAGGUGUAGACAGGUGCCGAACAGGCCCUGUGACGAUGAGCGCUAUAAUAAGGUAUGGCGAGGUCAAGCUGUUGGACUUGCACAGGAAUGCAUUCUAUAGGAGGUGCGCGGGUUUUGAACAGUCGGCACGAAGGCCUCUAGCUCCUAGGAGCUCCUCGCCAGGGGAGCGCCGGGUGUUACAUGCUUGGACUGUCCAAUCCCUGUCAGUCUUUCGUGUAACCGCUCAUGAAUGGGCCACCGCGCUCCUGUCUUGGUUCCCCCGUGCUGCCAUCAGCUUUUGGGCCGCUGUUGGGCCGCUGCAGAGGCAACUGCGACUAGAUCGCGACAGUCCCGCCAUCCCGCAGCGGAGUUGACACCGUCAUGCUUGCUGUCGUGCUGCAUCUCAGACGUGCCAAAGCUGCUGCGGUGGUGCACGGCACCGGUUCACGAAGGACGAAGUGCGUGUGUUACAGACGUGCAACCUGGCCUUUGGCCCAAGCCACCCCUCCCACACACACGUCUCUAAUGCGCGUGCAUGGUCUCCGCGCGUCGCCACAUUUACAACCACCCAAGACCGCCUCGUGCGGUCUCGUGCGGACACACACCUCGCUGCUACCGCCUGCGCUAGCUCAUGAGUAGAAUGCCGUGUGGGUCUCUUGUUCGCCGCCUUGCCAUCUUGGAGGAACACCGAGCUCAGGCAUAACUCCGAUAUGGCCACACUGCAUGCCACCUUAUGGUACUGCUAUUGGCCCCGCUGCUACAAAGCAUGGUAUCCCCAAGGACGAACAAGCACCAGCUGGGCUUGCAACUGUAACAUACAUAAGAACAUAUUAACAGGCAUCAGAAAGCAUCUUCACCAGCUCACCCAGCCUUGCCCUGCCCCUCCGCACAACAUCAGCGAAGGAUAGCGCUUGGGCUCAUGUGAACUGCACGCCACGACCCCAAAUACCAUUUUAAAACCCAAAUGCGCCAGGGAAUUACGGAAACCGAAGAUAUUAGUCACGGUGUGCGGCCUGUCAGUCAGGGAGUGACCCUGUCCCCAUUAACGAAGCCCUUGGAUGAAUAUCUCCAAGGCGCUCAGCAACUGUAGGCCCAUCACCAAUUGUGUCCCAUCAUACAAAACACAUACGGUGAACACAGGCGUCUUCAAAGUACCGUAGUUCAAACUGCUGGGACAAGCAUUGCCCUUCUCAUAUGAGAGGUAGUCCUAAACCAUUUUUGUGACGCACGCCAAUCAUGUGUCCACGACAAACCAGACCGGGCACCUAGCCCCAAACUUGAUGACGGCAACAACUCCAAGCUGUGUGGCCAGUCGGCGCAAUGACACCGCGCGGGCCAACGCGCAAUCCGCAGACACGAACCAAGUUACGGUACCGUGUGCCGGUGGACGCACAGAGCAUGACUAUCAAUCCAACAGCGGGAGUCCGCAAGACCCACGAAACCUUUAUUGGCUUGUCCGCGAGCAGCAAGCCCUGUCCGCCAAGCAACUUCCGUCGCAGCAGCCUCCACAACCAAUCGCACGUACGAUGGACCACGCGAGGGUGCGCGGGCACCCGCGCACGACCACCGUCCCGCCAUGCGUGAUGCGGCUGGCGGCGUGUGGUACGUGCCAGGCUCGCGCGGGCCGCCUCACACCCCAUGUUUCAGGAGCGAGCGGGACGGCGGUCACAGCACACCGAGAGCGUCGGCCAACGGGCCAACCACUUUCCCAAAGCGCCAACCCCCUGUACCAUUGUACCCCCUAAGUACAAUAUGACCAAAGUUAUGCUACUUAUGGCGGGACUUUGCUCCUGGCCACAGUCGCUCGUAAAGUGCUUCGCAUAACCCUCACCCUCAGAACGAGGCCAUGUUCCCCCCGGGGCAAACACUUGCCCUACACAUGACAAAACAGCGGCCUUGCAUCUCCGGCCCUGCCUCCUUCCUUUGCAGUGCCUCCGCGCGUUAUUUACUCGCUGAACAAUGUUAGCAACUAGCAUCCCGAGUAGAAGCAGUUAACGAUGAAAUGGUGCGCCCCCUGGGGCUCCCUGUUGCGCACUGCGCGUCACAACCACCCGCUGCAACAAGCAACGUGCCCGUCCGCGAAACGCUGGUGCCUCAUUCCCCGUUCCCCAGCGCCUCAGAGCCAUAGGGCAUCCACGACUGCGAGCCGUGCGCCCCUCGCGGCAGCACCCACGACUGCGUGUCGCCGCCGUCCGCCGCAACCGCCGCCGCCGCCGCCGCCGCCAGGGCCGCCGCCGAGCUGCUGCCGCCGGCCUGCAGCGGAACUACCUGGUUGGUACGCACGCUGCCGCCGCCGCCGCGGCGCGCACCAGCCCGCGAGCCCAUGCGAAGCUGCUGUGGGCCGCCGCUGGCGGCGCCGUCGCCCUUGCCCAGAAAUGCUGCAGCGGCCGCCGCCGCCGCCGAAGCGGCCGCGGCGCCGCCAGGCGAACUGGCGACAAAACUCCCGCCGCCUCCGCCGACUCCGCCAGCAGCCAUGGCCGUGGUGAAGCCUAUUCCCAUGGCGGCCGCCGCCGCGCCGCUGCCGUUGUACGACACCGUGCCACGUGGCGGCGGCGCCGCCGCCGGCGGGCCGCCCACGGACGCCCCCAGGCCGCCUGGCGUGGGCCUGGCGACGUCGACACUUGCGCGCCCGAGCGGGUGCCUGGCCACGGCUGCGAGCGGCGGCUGCAUGCCCGACCCUCCGCCGAGCCCCGCCGCCCCGCCGUUGCUGAGCGGCCGCGGAGCGGCUGCAAACAACUCGAAGGGUGUGGUCGGCACGAGCCCGCCUGACGCCGUGUUUCCAGGGCUUUCGCCGGUGGUGCCGCCGCCGCCACCGCCGCCGGCGCCGCCGCGUUUGAAAGUGGUGGACAGUGCGGAUGCCAUGGUGGAAGCCGCCGCCACGCCACGCCACCGCGACGCCGCUGUGCGGCCCUGCCCCUGCUCCUGCUCCCCAGACGCCGACCCUUGCCCGCCGCCUCCGCCGCCUCCACCCCCACCCGCCACUCGCCGGUUGGAUGGAGUGCCGCCCAGCGACCCCAGCAUUGGAGGCGUGCCCGUUGUGCUGCUCGGGUUGCCACGGCGCGGCCCGCUGAUAGAGCCCCGGAACACGCCAGCCGGCCCGCCGCCCAGCAGCUCCGUCAGCGCAGUGCCCGAUAGCGACGCAGCGUCGUUGCUGCCGCUGCCGCCGGUGCCGGCGCCGUAGCCGGCGCGCAGGCCGCCAGCGGCCGCCGCCGCGGUCGAGGGCCGCGUCAGCGCGCCGCCGGCUCCGGCUCCACUGCCGCCAACAGCUGCGGCGCCGCCGAGAAUGGACAUGGACAUUGACUGUGUGUUGGUGCCGGCCUCCAGGCGCUGAAUGCCGCCCUCCACCUCCACCACCCGCUCCUCAAGGUCGGCCAGCGCUUCCUCACAGCCCUGCACCGACUUAAGCACCUGCGCGGUGUCAAGGCGGGCGCAAAGCGGAAAGGUUCAUGUGUUUCAGAGCACGAUCCUGCCGCAUACUUUCCGCAGCCCCCUCCAACCCAUCCAACGCGUUGGCCAAAUCCUGUUACCGAAACACAGCCGCAUAGCUGCGCCCGUGUGCAAAGCACGCGCUAGGAAUCAAGCCAUACUCCGAGCCGUUCAUCUCAACAGUCCUGAUUGGUUGGCAACACCUCGUCAAAACGCACCGCCAUGAUUUGGUCCCAUUGCUUCUCCGACACGUAGUAACCGCCAUCCGGCAGCUUCUGCACCGCCGCGCCGCCGGACGACACCGGCACGUAGGUGUGCAGCGGCGGCGGCGGCGGCGCCCCCAGGGCCAGCAGCCCCGUGCCUGUUAUCAGACCGGAGCUGCGCCGCGCAUAGUGCGAGAUCGGACUCCCCACAGCCGCCGCGCUGUAGCCGCCAACGCUGCUGGGUCCGCCGUCCAGGCGGAUCAUGCUCUCCCGGCGGCUGUUGCGCCGGUGCUGCGCCCCUGCCGCGCCGCCGCCGUGCGGCGGCGGUGACACGAUGCCUCCUCCUGCCACGGACGCUGUGCCGGUGUCGGCGCUCCCGGGGCGCCUGGAGAUGACCACACGCAUGUGGAUGUCAGCACCGUCAGGGGCAAACGCCACCGCCGCCGCCGCCGCCGAUGCCGGCGGCGGCGCGUUCGGGUCCGGCAGCGCCAGCCGCGGCACCCUACUGCCGCCGCCUCCGCCGCGGCCGCCGCCGCCGAUCAGGCGCACUGGUGACAGCACCAUUCCGCCAUCGCCGCCGCCGCCGCCGUCAGGAUGCUCGGCAUCCCUAACAUGCCCGGCGCCGCCGCCACCGCCGCCGCCGCGCUGCGGGCUGGAGUGCAUAUGAACGGUGCUCGCGCUGCGGCCGUACUGGCCGGUGGCCGUACCGCCGCCGCCGCCGCGCGACAUUGGCGACAACAGGUCCGCCCCCGCACGCCGGCUCGAGCCGCGGCUCGCCUCGCCGGGCGGCCGCUCGUGCUGCUGCUGCUGCUGCUGCGCCGCCAUCUCCUCCCGUGCCUCCUCUGCCGCGUCCGCUGCCUCGUGUUGCAGCAGCUGCUCCAUGUACCAGGAGGUGAGCUUGCUGGCGCGGCGGGAAAGGUGGCGGCCGGGGCCGCCGCGCAGGAGGCCCGUGGCCGUGGUGUUUCGUGAGCCCGCCGCCGCCAUCGAUAGCAUGCCGGCGCCGGUGCUCAUACCACCGCUCGUCCCGCGCGCUCCCGCUGCCGCCAUUCCCGAGCCAGUGGCGGCGCCGCUGCGCGGCAGCCGUGCCGGCGCGGUGGCGUCCGGCUCCGCCGCCGCCGCGGCCGCCGCGGCCGCCGCGGCCGCCGCGGCCGCCGCGUCGGCUGGCAGUGUGGGGCUGGGCGUGGCAAAGGCACGGUGCGGGUGGCCGUAGGGGUGGCCGUUGCCUCGGGCCGGGCCGUCGAGCGGCACGCCGCCGGCGGCCAGCACCGCCGCCACUAGGUCAUCAGCAGCUGCGUCUUGGGCGCCGCUCGAAAGCGCGCUGGAGCGCCGCUGGUUGGCGGUGGCUGUGGGCACGCCGCCUCGGACGCCGCCGCCGGUAGAUCUGCCGGGCGCGAUGCCACCAGUGGUGACGCCCCGGCCAGGACUGAGCGGGUUGUGCUGGUUCGGAGCACCAGCGGCGCCGCCGGGCGAUGGCGCGAUCGGGGGCGAGAUAGCCUCAAGCAUGGCUUCAGCCACCGGCCCCGGCCCCACGCGACCGGUGCCGGCGCCAGUGCCGGCGCCUUGCCGGCCGGCGCCCGGGACGGCGCCAACGGACGGCACGUAGAGGGAGGAGCUGAAGAUGUCAGGGGCGGCGAGGCCGGCCUGCGACUGGCCCCGGGCUGUAGCACCGCCGGCACCAGCUGCAGCAGCAGGCCGCGCCGGCGGCGGCGGCGCUAUGCUGGAGAGCUCGCUGCUGCUCAUGCGGCUCACCAAGGCGACGUCGCCUGGGCCUGGCUCUGGAAACACCGCUGAGACGCCGUCCCUGGUGCUGCUGGCCAUGCUGGUGUAGCCGGCGCCGGUGCUGGGCUUUUGCGAGGAGCCGCGAGUGUACAGCCGCUGCAACCGGGCGCUCUGCGCGUGCGUCCAGUGUCAAAAAGGGUUAGGGUUUAAAUGGGUCGCGGUAUGCGGUGCUGCGCCCGGCUGCUCAUAGCAACCCUACACACACUCGGCCCCUUUGCUUGGCUGUCGAAACACACUCGACGGCAUGCCCCCGCCGUGCAACACGCCACCCGCCCCAUGCCCGCCGCCCCAUGCUCGCCGCCCCAUGCCCGCCGCCCCAUGCCCGCCGCCCCAUGCCCUCCUCGCUCCAUGCCCUCCUCGCUCCAUGCCCGCCGCCCCAUGCCCUCCUCGCUCCAUGCCCUCCUCGCUCCAUGCCCUCCUCGCUCCAUUGCAUCGGUCCGGUUUAGUUUGGGUAUCUUAACACCCCCCCGCCCCCCAUGCCCCACGCCGCACCCCCCCGCCGCCCUCACCUGCUGCUCAACGGCCCGGGCUGCAGCGACCGCGAUGCGGCGAGCCGACGGCCCCGUCAGGUCUAGGCUGGCGGCCUGCCGCCCCCCUCCCGCUGCCGCCGCCGCCUGCUCCUGCUGCUGCCGCCGCUCCUCCUCCCCGCGCGGCGUGAGCUGCAGCACGUCUGUCGGGCGAGCGAUGUCGAUCGAGCGCCUGCGUGUGUAACAAGAGGCAACGGUAUCAUUAUUAUUUUCGAGCGCAAUGAAUUGCGACUGUGUACCGUAUUGAGGGCACAUUGGCCCGGAACUUCGUUGCAAGUCUUCAACAGCAAAAUGACCCCAGGGUCUCACGCCCACCGAGCCUCCUCACCAAUACACACGACUGGCGGGGCGUGAGGAUGGCGAGCCGGGCCGGCCGGCGGCGGAGUCGUCCAGCAGUAGCGCCGCCGCCUGCGCCGCCGACAGCGCGGCCAGAGGCGCUUGCUUGCCACCACUCCCACCACCAGCAUCACCACCAGGAGCAGCCACAGCCACAGCCACAGCCACAGCAGCAGCAGCAGCUUCUUCCCCUGCGCGGCCUUGCCCAUCGCCGUUGUCGCUGUCGCCGUCGCCGCCGCGCCUCGGCGUCAGCUGCAGCACGUCUGUGGGCGCCGGCUCGCGCACCUCGCGCCAGUACCGCCGGCUGCCAGCGCGAGAGGAGCCCAAGGAGGGGCGGCCGCCCGCUUCCUGCCCUGCGGCCGCCGCCGCCGCCGGCGGCGACGGCGCCUGUGCCACUGCCGCCGAGGGCGCCGCCGGCUGCUGCGGCUCGGGCGGCGUCGGCUCAGCCCGCUGCGAUCCAACCACACGGCCCUCCGCCGGCGUCGCUCCCGGUGCAGGUGCGAAAGCGGAGGCCUCCACCGCCACGCGGCGCACAGCCAGUGCCUCCGCGGCCGUGGCGGAGGCCGCGGCGGCGCCCUCGCGGCGCUUGAUGGAGCUCACCUGGUCCACGUCACGUGCCCUGCCGCCCUGCAGCAGUCUGGCCGCCAGGCCGCCGCCGCCGCCACCAGCCUCCUCCUCCCCCGCCUCCUCCUCGUCCUCGCCACCCUCAUCCUUUUCCCACACGCCUGUGGCUCGCGCGCCCUUGCCGAGAUCCUGCUCGGAGCCGGGGCUGUCGUCCUCCUCGUCCUCCUCCACGGGCUGCAGCCGCGGCGGGCGGCUGCCGGACUUGCCAUGCACCCCACCCUCGCCCCCAUCACCAUCAUCGCCAUCGCCAUAGUGACCACCACCGUCAUCGCGCUCGGCGCCGUCGCUUGCGUGAUCGCCGCGCUCAUCGGAGCCGUCGUCCGCCGCCUCCUUGUGGGAGUUGGCAUGGGCGUAGGCGUGGCGGCCGGCGGCGUGCGCCUCGAAGAAGUCGUCAUCAUCCUCGAACUCGCCGGGCAGCCACAGCUUGCGGCUCACCUGUUUCGGUAACACAACAAGUCGAGGAGAAUGUUCCAGCCAACAAGAAUCGACAGUAGCCCCUCGCGUGCGUGCGUGUUGAUAGGGUGAUCAGUAGGAGACAGUAAUGCCCCCCAGCCCAGCGCUACAGCUAUCAUAAGCUAUCAGCGGCUUAUAAGUUAUCACCCACUGCCAGCUCGGUAAGUCGCUCCUCGGCGCGCUGCCGGAUGAGCGCCGCGCUCUGAGGGAAGUCGGCCAUCACUGCCUGCAGUCGGGCCGAGCCGUGCAUCCACAUUUCAGCAUUCCAGCAAUCCAGCAAUUCAGAACUUUAGCACUUCAGCAUCGUGUCCAGCACGCCAUAGCGCACAGAGGUCGCCAUGCCAUGCCGUGAGGCACCGUGCGAUGCUGCAGGCCUCCACACUCCACAGCCCCCCUCCGGAAGUGCAAACAGCACUACAGGCAGGCGCCACGCUGCCAACAACGACAACCCUACGCGGCAAGAAAUCGCUGCACCCACACCCACACCCACACUCGCACCCGCGCCCACACCCACACCCACCGCCAGCUCGGCCUUGCCCAGCACGGCCAGGUCCACGAACCCCAGCGCAGUGCAGUUGGCGGUGCGCUUGCCGGUGGACAGCAGCGCCACCUCGCCAAACACCUCGCCCUGCUUCAACAGCGCCACCAUCUCGUGAUGGGCCGAGGUCACCGCCACACAGCCUGCAGCGCCGCGGCACAAGCGUUGGCGCGGGCUUUCAGGAAAGCACUGAACAUGGUGCGGGUUGUUGCGGACACACGAAGAAGCUGGCGGGCAGCCGCGCCACCCUCACGCGCAAUGGGCAGGUGCCAUGUAGUCGUACCACGCUGCGCCAGCCCCCUCGCGCGCGCCCACGUCGCGGGCAGCUGCUCCACGCCACCCCGGCCCCGACUGUGCAGCCCGGACCACGGGUCCCACCACCACCCAGGUCUCAGCCAAGUCCCAGCCAGGUCCCAGCCAGGUCCCAGCCAGGUCCCCACAAGUCCCGGCGUGUCCCCAUCGCCGCCGCCGCACCCACCCUUGCGGAUGAAGUACAUGCAGUGCCCCACGUCGCCCACUCGGAACACGGGCUCCGCGGGCUGCAUGGACUGCAGCUGCACGCGCAGCGCCAGCGCUCGCAGGAAGCCGCGCUCCAGGCUGGCAAACAGUGGCACCUGCCAGCGCGAUGGCGCAUGCAGGAGAGGGAGGGGGGGAGCAUGACUGGGUGCAUGUGCAUGGGUGCAUUUGCAUGUGCAUGUGGUGUACGCAGACGGGCCGGGCGGUGCCGGGUGCGUGGUGUGCCCCUUGGCUGCAACCGCAACCCACAGCACGUCACAGCACGCCACGCCACGACACCGCAAGCACCCACCCACACGGCAGGCAGCCAUGCAGCCACGCACCUUCUCCACGGACUUGAAGUACAGAUACAUUUGCAGCUCCCGCAGCAGGCUGGAGGGCAGCUCGCGAAGGAAGGCCAUGCCCUCGGCGCCGGGGUGGCUCCGCUCCUGUGCAAGCAAUCGAGCAGCAAUGCGACCGUGUUGCAUCACGUGUAACGGUUGGGUGGCGCCGAAGGCAGGAGGCGGGCGGACACAACGCCCGGCCACUCAGCAGGUGCGGACGCCAUGCACAGCAUGUUUGUCUCUGUUCACACACAGUGUCUCUGCGUGUGUCCUUUGCUUGUGCUCCCUCUCUUCUGUGUUUGUGGAGGCACACACACAUGCGUACACGCUGCUUGCGCGCUUUGCUAGGACUGUUACGCUGCGCUGCUGCCGCCCGCACCUGCAGGAAGUCGAAGAAGCUCUGCACAUUGUCCUUGACCUUGUCCUGAACGCCCAUGUAACGCAGUGCGUCCUGCGUCAUGAUGCUUUUCUGCCUGCGGGUGUGGCGGGGUACGAGUGAGGGCGGGUGAGCAUGAGGCGGCAAUCACAGGCGAUGAGACGCGGGAGCGCUGAGCUCGCAUGCGAGAAUGCGCGCGGGCCGAACCCGAUCUGGGCCAAGCAGUAGGAAGAGGCGUGGAGUGGGUAUAGACUUGACGGCGCGUCCGCUCGGCCUCCACACCCCCUCCUCCUCACCCGUGGCGGUUGAUGGUGACGUUGAGCGUGGCGACUAGCGUGGCCAUCUGACCCACGACCGCCGAGUAGAAGAACACGCCCAGCACCUCCACCACGCAGUAGAAGGUGCGCUCGUAGUUGUUGUAGGCGUUGAUGUUGUCGCCCACCUGGCGUCGGGGUUGUUUGUUGCGAGCGGAUGCGACGUCAGGAGGUGGGUUGCCAGGGGCGUGAGGCACGCCCGCAUUCUAUGUGUAUGGUUUUUGCCAUGCCGGCGCUCUGCGGUGCUGUACUGAUACCAAAGCAGAGAGGCUGAGAAACUCAUGGCUACGAAACACGCAGGGCAAGCUCUUACUUCCUAUCAAUUUCCAUCUGUCCACAGCUACCGCACCCGCGCUACAGUAGGAACCCGCCCCAGGACCUUUCGGCCGGCAGCCAAACUGCAUCUCCUCUCCGUGCUUGUAUACUUAGCCCGCCCGCCCAAGCCCGGUAGCACCCACCAGCAACAGGAAUGAGGAGUAGAACAGCAUGAUGUAGUAGGCGAGUCCUUGGCUGCCGCCGUCAGGCACGGUAGCCUUCAUGAACGCCCACUCCUCGGCAUUGUUCUUACCGCCGAAGGCGUACAUCCUGCGUGGCCCGUCAGGCGGGCGGGUCGGGCGUGGCUUCGUAUGCUCGAUCGCCGUGGAUGCUGCUGCCCACAGCACGGCCUGUCUCUCACCUCUACCCCAUGCCACCCCACACACACCCCACGCCACUCCACACAUUGCAACGCAGGUGGCCCUCCACUCACAUGUACCAGAUGCACGCCAACCAGUGGCUGAUGAGGAUCAUAGCCAUGAACAGCUGAACAAUGCGGAAGAUCUUGGCGUUCUUAAAGCCGUCGAGGAAGCGCAGCAGCCGCCCCAGACGCAGCAUGCGCGGCGCUUUGAGAAAACCUAGCGCCGCCAGUGUGGUGCUGUUGUCUUGGUGGCCGGAGAACACGCCAGUGGCCGUGAUAAGAGCAUCCCAAGGAAUGGUACCCGACAAGUCGAUCCAGAACCACAUUUUCUGCGGGAAGAAGAGGGCGCGAGAUGCUAUGUGAUCAGUGGUGACUCCAAUAUCCCAUCAAUGGUCACUGCGUGAAUGCGAGCACGAAGGAUCUUAUAAGCCUGCAUUCGCGGCCCACGUCCAACCCGUACGGGCACGUCACAGGCUGUUGUAGCGCAUAUGGUUAUGCACUUAUGCCGGAUGUGACACGCUACGGUGUCCAGAACUGGGGCGCUGUUUGGGACAGGGCCACGUACAACACAGGCAUUUCAGGGCUUGUACAAGCUUCGAAAUGCCGCACCAUGUAGUUCGCGGCAAUGGCCGCCGAGUCGCGAAUAAGCUCGCCCUGCAGCAGAGACGUGCAGCACGCGACAAGCAACCAUUCAGCAAUAGGCUCCCGGCGUCUGGGAACACCACGGCUUGCACACACGGCCCCUGCCGCUCCGUGCAAGCCCUCGCCCGUCGCUCUUCCCAAGCCCUCCAACGAACCUGGUGGUUGUAGAAGGCAGUGCGGAAGUUGACGAGCAGGUCCACACCGAACAGGGCUGUCAUGAUGUGGUCAGCGGCGUCCCAAAUCAGCGUCCGGGGCGUGCCGAAGCUGACGGACAGCGGCACCGUCACCGCUGUCCACACCACCAUGCCCAUGACCAACAGGUCCCACCUGCAGGUCGUGUGAGCGCACAGUCACAAGCACCGCCACUGUCGUGACCACCACGAAAACCGACACAGAACCACGCCACGCCUACACACCGCUCCAAGUGCCGCGCUCCCUCAUGCCUGAGGCAGCUCAGGCCGCGCCAAGCUCGCCACAUAUCACAAGUUGUGAGUCGCAACCCGCGCACGGCACGCCCAACCACCGAGGACACCGCGCGUGCGCAGUUCCGCACUCACAUCCGGCGGCCGAUGGUGUCAGGCCGCAGGAUGGGCAGGCACGCGUCCAUCACCGUGAGAGGGUGGAACAUCUGCAGCCGCUCCCGCCACGUGCGCCGGUGGUGCCGGUGCCUCCGCUUCUUCCUCCGCUUCCCGCCCACCGCCUCCGCCGCCGCGUCCUCCUCCUCCUCCUCCCGAGCCGCCCGCAUCGCCUCCAAGUCAGCCACGCUGAAGCGCCGCUGCGCCACAGACAACGUCGACAUGGCCGUCUGCGAGCGGUUGUAGGCGCUGCGAGCGUCAAAGCUUUGCGCACGGCCCCAUGCAAGCUCCGAGCCGCCGCCGUCGUUGUCGGAGCCGGCGGUCAGGAGGAACGUCGCCUUCUUCCGCCCGCCGCCACCGCCGCCGCCGCCGGCCCCGGUCGCCUUCAUCUCCGCGAGAGUCAUGCCCGGCCCCAAGCCCAGCGCAAAGUUGACGGCCGGCGCCAGCCCGCGCGCUGGUGCGGGCGUGCGCUCAAAGCCAAAGGCCGUGGCGGUGAUGGGGUCGGCGCCGGGCAUGCCGCCGCCGGGCAACGGCGUCUCUGGGUCCGAGCUUUCGCCGUCGGCGCCGUUGCCGAGCCGGGAGUCGGCGUCCCGAAAGCCGGCCGCCGCCGCCGGCCCGGCGCCCGCGGGCUCCCCGCUUGCGACGGACUGCGGCAAUGCAGACCGCAGGAAGCCGGUAGCUGUGCCCGCCUUCUCCCUGGGGUCCUUGUCCUUGUCUCCAUCGCCCGCCUGGAACGCAGCCCACCAGUUGCUGCCUGGCAGCUGCCACGCGCCCUUGGCGCCGCCCGCGCCCGCGCCUGCGCCUGCACCUGCAGCCUCACCCGCAGCUGCACCCGCGGCAAGACCGCCACUCCGGCCGCGCGCAAGCCCACGCGGGCUGGGGCUGGGCAGGCCGCGCUGCGUGGUGCUAUUGGACGGCGCACCAAAGGGCUGGAUCCCCGUUGCACUGGUCCGCUGCCCGCCUACCUCGCUGCUCCUCGGUGCCAUGCCUUGCGCGCUGCGCCCGCGUCCGCCGCCUCCACCACCGCCCACUAGAGGCGAGCUGACGCCCCACGCCGCCUCCACGGCGCCGCCGUCAUCGGUGCUGGCACGCGCCUUCGCCGGGCGCAUGCCCGCCCGGUGCUGCCGGUACCUCCAGCUCAACGGCACCUCACUGCCGUCACCGCCCGCUGCUCCUGCCGCGCCUGCCGCCGCCGCGCCCAGGCCUGCUCCUCCUCCUGCUACCACCAAGCCGUCUAGGCCGCUGGUGGCCUGUCGGGCCAGCGCCGCAGCCGCUCCCGCUGCAGCCCCCGCGUCGCCCCGAGCCGCCAGCUCCAACAGGUGCUCCAGGUCGUGUUCCCCUGCCGCGCUGGCGGCGCCUGCCCUCCGCGUGCCGGGUAAGCCCGCGGCCGCCAUGACAGCCGCGGCCGCUCCUGCAGGCAGCCGGCUGGGCUGGGAGGCAAGCGAGCGGGCUGCCCCCGCGGCCGCUGCGGCUGUAGCAGCAACCAGCGCCGCCGCUUGGGCUGCUGCCGGGCCGACAGGGGCACAGGCAGAAGGGGGGCGCGAGCUGGGCUGCUGCGGCUGCGGCUCCGGCACCUGUGACAGGUCUGCGUCCCGCAUCCAUCGCGUGACUGCCGCACGCAGGCCCCGCUCCUUCUGUUUGGACUCCCGCGUCUCUUUUGCGGCUGUCGCUGCCAUCGCUGUGAGGAGAACGCGUGUACGAAGGGGCAAGCGCAGGAACAUGCUAUCAGGGCCGUGCAGGCUGGCCGGGCCCAGAUGAUGUACGGUACGACGCAAAGAAACUUUGCCGCUGGUAAGCUGCCAGCCCAACGCCCAGUGCUACUUAUACACGCAUAUAUGUACAAGUCCUCCCUGCCUCACUCAGUCCAGGCAGAACGGGCGGCCCAGUGACGCCACAAUGGCCACGCAAAUCAGGGCUUACCUUUCCCGCCAAGCGCCUCGCGCCCCCACAAAGCUGGCUGUGCGGGUGUGCCCUGUGCCGAGAAUCCGGGGGUGCACGCACAGGACGCGUCAGGGCCAACUGAAGCAGGCCUAGCAUGUAAAGCCGCGUUUUGCGAACUGGGGGGCUGGCCAAGCAACGGCAGAAUGACGGAACGGGCAUGCCUGAGACAUCAGUGUAUGCUCACCGUCGCUGUCGCAUUUCGACUCCGCGAAGCCAGCUGAACCGCAGGAACGCCAUCAUCACUUUCAUUGCUGAAGAGGUCAAUUGGCCGUCCUGACGCAUCCCCUUCCUGCAGAGCCCGGGAAGUCGUCAGCCAAGCCGGUCGAGCGCUUUUUAGAGAUAAGUUCCUUACUCGAAUCAGGUCAUCGACAUGCGUAUUAAGCGCCUCUUGGUGCAAAGCCGCUGCCAAUUCGGCCAUCCUCGCUCCUCGUUUGCGGCGAGACCGGCCUCGCCAGGCCUAGUAGCUGCUUAGUGACAGGAAAUCUGUGUGCAUCGGAUACAUCAUUUAUAGAUGCUCAGGUAGCAUCAGCCACGCCCUGGGACGCGGGAAGGCAUCUCAGUUGGUCCAACUUCAGGUACGCGUAUGCAGUGUACUUCGUGCGGCAGCGGUAAACAUCUAAGUGUCGUUUAACGACUGGAAGGCUGCGGUAAAAGUAUCAUGGUCGCGGAAAAAGUUCCACGACAAAGUGGGGGGCGGGUAUGAGGAAACGCGAGGUCAACGAAACGCAGAGGAGGCGGUUGUGGCUUAUUAAUACAUGCCUCGAACUAAAUACUGUAUGCGUACAGGUACGUCUUGCCGGGUUAAUACUGACCGAUUCAGCUGGGUCCCAUCUCGCGCGACUUGGGGAAGUCCGGGUCAAUGAGCAGAAUGAGCAUUGUCCAAUAGUAAUACACAUGCAAGUUGCUUCUCUAUACAUUAAAAUAGCAAAAUGAGUGUCGCCCUAGCAUCGGAGUACCAGCUCGUUCAGAAUGCACAGCUGCCGCAGCGCUGGUCGCAGUGAGUAGAACAGCAGCGCACCAAACGGUGUUCUCACGCGACAUUCAACUGAGGAACGCUGGCCUUCUAUGCGCAGGUCUGCUCGCAAGUCACUCGCGAUUUUGGAGGCGACAGCUCGCAAGGAAGCGACAGCUCAAAUGGAAGCGGCCGGGGGGUCAUUCUGCGGGUGAGUGAAGUAUACAGCGCUGGCCGCUGUGGUAUUAGCGUGGGGGAAAUCGGGGAUUGCGGAAGUGUUGACCCCCGCGACCUCGCGCUGCUUUUCGCUGCAGUCAAUUCCCCGUGGACCCUGCCUUCAAGGUCCUGUCGCUGGAGUAUUCUGCCCCGAACCCCGACAUCGCCCGGGCUAUCCGGCGCGUUGACUCGGUGCCGAACCCCCCGCUGCCCAGCCAUGUCGUCGCCAUCCAAAGCACUGCUGUCGACGCGGACCUGUCGCUUGCUAUGGGCGUCUCGCUCACGCCGGGCCGGCACACGUCGUAUUUGGUAGACGCCAGGGCCCUGCAGCAAAGCAACAGCGCCGCGGUGGCCGCCCGCAAGGCUGACGGUGACAAGUGGGGCCCAGCAUGCGACGAGAUGUUCCGGGGCUGUCGAUGUGUGACGGGGCAGGAGGUGGUUUUCUACACAGCUGUAAAGGAGCCGGCGGGGGAGGUGGAGGGGGGAGAGGGCUCCUUAUUCAAGCCAUCCUUUGAUGGCCCCGCCUUUCGCCCCUCAUGGGGCGAGCUGAGCGGCAAGGCAACUGGCGUGGUGGCAUGUGUCCUACAGGCGAGUAUAUGGUGGCCUCCUGGGCGAGUAAUAGGCUUGCAGACAUGUGGGUUCCUAAAGUAGCUGCCCCGCAGUUCCUAAUGUCUGACCAUCUAUCCAUGCCGACACGUAGGUGCCAAUUGGCAAGGAGACAGACAUAAUCUGCGCCGAGUACGACAACCUGGUCAGCAAGGGGCAGUUCGCGACUGUGGACCGUUUCGGUGGGGACCACACGGUAAGUGGGCCGAGCCCGCGUGUCAGGCACUGGGCCGCAUAAGCCGCACAGGACUGCGCAUUUGCACAGCAAUAUGACAUGCCGACUGCACAUCCUGGCAGGUGAACAUGACCGGCAACGCGCUGAUACAGAAUGACGGCAAGGCCAUCUCGAAAGGGUGCGUGGGCAAGGCACAGGGGAAACCAAAGCACCGUGGCCAAACAACCGAGUCUUGCGCUGUGAGCUCGCGAGUUUGUGCUGGGCACUGGGCAGCCCGGCUUACCAUCGUCCCAACUUAAGCCUAUUGGGAAGGACGGUGGUGCCACAGUCAAGCAGCCUUUCCUCUCGCAUGGCUACACUCCCACCCUACCACGCAGCCAGCUCCUGACCGAUCCCACCCCUUCCCGUGGUGGGUCACAGGUACGCCGUGGCGCACCGCGCCCGUGUCACCAGCAACGUCUACGGCAAGGCUAAUGAUGUCAGCCUGCAGCGCCUGGCGGAGACUGUAUGGAGCGUCGUUGAGAAGCGCCUGAGUUUCAUGCCGGCGUACCGGUGAGUGGUGUUGUUGCUGUGCUGCUAGCUCGCAAUGCGUAAAAUGACGUGCGACACACCUAGUGCUGUGAUCACCCUUGCUGAGUUGGCUCCUGUUGCUUCUGCCGCAGGGACCUGGUGAUCACCGAGCAAGGCAAGCCCUUCAUGCUUGGCGCGACUGCCACAAACAUCAUCUCUCUCACCGAGAAUCAGGGCGUGAUGCUGCACCUCGACACUGACGAUGGUGGGUUGGCACCAUUCAUCUUCGCUGGGCGCACGGGGCCUGUAUGUUUGCCCGCAACGCACUACUAGCUCUACACUGCUGUAAGCAGCGGGAGUGGAGUGGAUCCCAUCUCGCAGGUUGUACGGCGGCAUCCAGAAGUUUCUUAACGAACCAUGUGCUGCUAUGCACAGGUGUCUGGACUAUCAUCCUGUGGUUUCAUAGGCACAGCGGCAUCAUCGCUGGGGGCGAGUUCGUGCUGCCAUCGCUGGGCAUCUCCUUUCAACCACUGGACUUCACCAUCGUCGUGUUCGCUGCCAACACCAUCGUGCACGGCACCAGGCCCCUUCAGACAACCGGCAAGAUCAUCCGGUGGGGCUCCAGCCACUUCCUGCGGUUCAAGGAUGUGAACGCGCUGGCACAGCUGGGCGCUGCGUAUGGAGUGGACGAGCUGGACGCCAAGCAGCGGGACCAGCUCGAGGAGGUAGACGCUGCCAACAGCAAGGAUGGUGUCGGGGCUGCCAGGCGGGUCGCGUCUUGUAUGGCAGCAGAGCGUAAGGCCGCCAUCGAGGCACAGAAGGCGGCAUGCGUGCGUGGAGUUGUGAUGAACCCUUGUACUGGACGCAUGCCAUCGCUUUUGUUUUGGCAAGUCUGGCGGAAGCCUCCGGCUCUGGCUGUUCGGGCCAACGCCGUUGCUGGCAAGAAGCGUGCGGCAGCCGAUGUCGAUUUUUGUGGCGCAUAAUACGGGGUGUACAUGGGUUAGCACUGUUGCAUUACCCGUAAGAAGUAUGCAAGGCCCUAGACUGUGAGUUUGGCCAGGUGUGGGUUUAGACAUGUCGCCGGUGCAGGCUUGACUGGAGCCCCACCCUGCCCAGCCCCGAGCCCGGUGCUAGGUGGUUCUGGGAGCGGAUGGCCGGCCCACCGCGCUUACUUGCCUGAACUUACGUGCAUGCUUGAUCUGCAUUUACAAGGCCCUAGACUGCGAGUUUGGCCAGGUCGUGUGGGUUUAGACAUGUCGCCGGGGCAGGCUUGACUGGAGCCCCACCCUGCCCAGCCCCGAGCCCGGUGCUAGGUCGUUCUGGGAGCGGAUGGCCGGCCCACCGCGCUUACUUGCCUGAACUUACGUGCAUGCUUGAUCUGCAUUUACAAGGCCCUAGACUGCGAGUUUGGCCGGGUCGUGUGGGUUUAGACAUGUCGCCGGGGCAGGCUUGACUGGAGCCCCACCCUGCCCAGCCCCGAGCCCGGCGCUAGGUGGUUCUGGGAGUGGAUGGCCGGCCCACCGCGCUUACUUGCCUGAACUUACGUGCAUGCUUGAUCUGCAUUUACAAGGCCCUAGACUGCGAGUUUGGCCAGGUGUGGGUUUAGACAUGUCGCCGGCGCAGGCUUGACUGGAGCCCCACCCUGCCCAGCCCCGAGCCCGGUGCUAGGUCGUUCUGGGAGCGGAUGGCCGGCCCACCGCGUUUACUUGCCUGAACUUACGUGCAUGCUUGAUUUGCAUUUACAAGGCCCUAGACUGCGAGUUUGGCCAGGUCGUGUGGGUUUAGACAAGUCGCCGGGGCAGGAUUGACUGGAGCCCCACCCUGCCCAGCCCCGAGCCCGGCGCUAGGUGGUUCUGGGAGCGGAUGGCCGGCCCACCGCGUUUACUUGCCUGAACUUACGUGCAUGCUUGAUCUGCAUUUACAAGGCCCUAGACUGCGAGUUUGGCCAGGUGUGGGUUUAGACAUGUCGCCGGGGCAGGCUUGACUGGAGCCCCACCCUGCCCCGCCCCGAGCUCGGCGCUAGGUGGUUCUGGGAGGGGAUGGCCGGCCCACCGCGUUUACUUGCCUGAACUUACGUGCAUGCUUGAUUUGCAUUUACAAGGCCCUAGACUGCGAGUUUGGCCAGGUGUGGGUUUAGACAUGUCGCCGGCGCAGGAUUGACUGUCAUGGCCGGUCCCCCCUGUUCGGCUCUGCACUCCCACCAAUUCCGACCGAUUCCCACCGUUCCCCAGCAGUCCCCACGACCCCCGGAUGCAACGCCCCUCAAAUAGCCGUAAAAUUCAGUAAACGUAUGUUACAUCCGUGAAAUCUGGAACCAACAGUCCGUGUCGUUUGGAGCUGCGGCACCCUUGCGCAACGUUAGACACCUGCGCAAUCAUGCCCACCCAGGCCCACCCCGCCUCUGUAAACUCAGUAACUUCAGAAUCCCCGAACUCAAAGCAACCCCCCCAUACACGUUCUAUAUCAGGCACCACCCUGCCCAUGGCAGGUAACCCGAGCUGGACCUUGGCAACACCCCCAAGCAAGGGGCAGGCCCACCGUGUACGUAGACACUGCACACAUAAAGUAUCAAAUCCUACUUGUCAUUAAAUCGCCAGCAAUGUCCCAAUGCAACCACAUCCACACUGCAGAGCUUCUGCUCCCACUUACUUCUGCACACCUUCAGGUCCAACCAUACUGUCUCUCUAUGUAGUGUCCAUGCACAUAAACGGAUUGGCCUGACCAUGGGCCACAACAAAUAGGCCACAUACCCCCGUCUCUACUAUUUACUUCAUCACCUGCACCAGGGCCAGGCCAGACAGCUUCACCAGCAGCCCCUGCGGCACCUCGGAGCCCACGUGCUUCGAGAUCUGACCAAAGCACUUCCAGCACAGGAAGCGCACGUCCAGAUCUGGGCACAGCAACGACUCCUUGCACCAGUAGCCCGCCGGAGUGGAGACCAGCUGGCUGUUGCCAACCAUGAAGAACAUGGCGCCAAUCUCGCUUGGCUUCUUGUCCCCACUGCACAGGUCACAGUCCAGCACCUCAGUGCCGUCGCACCUGUGCAUUGGGUACAAAGCGAAAUCAAGUCAGCUUACAGUAAGCGCAUCAGCACAGCAACAGAACAGCAACAGCACAGCAACAGCACUGCAUGUACUCCCCGAGCUCUAGUACACAUGCUACACACUCACACGUGCUUCGGCAGCGGCAGGGUGGUGCCCAGGGGCAGCGCCCGCAGCACGCUGGGCACCUGGCAGAGCCGCAGCACAGUGUUGCACUCCGCUAACAGUGUUGCUGGGCUUCAGGCGCAUGGCAGCAGCGCUGGCUGAUGCAUACUCGCCCAAGUUGUUGUACGAGUAAAUGAGCUUGUGCUUCUCAGUGUCCGCAGCCAGGGCGCCGAUCGUGUUGUAGGCCUCGGGCGGAAUCCGGAAGCCCUGCUCCAGGAUGAUUAUGCCGUGGUCCUGCAACCAUAGUGAGACCGGGCAGAGGGAUAGUCAGAAAACAAGAAAUAAACGAGGGGCACGAGGCACGCAGCACGAGGCACGAGGCAACACGAGGCACUUCAAGGUAAGGGACCUAGGGGAGCCGAGCGAGGAGUCAACCAUCCCCUCUAGUAAGAAACGUGCCUUGUGGAAGGUGCUGUUGUCAAGCAGGGCGGUCUUGAUCUGGGCGAAGUCUCCACGAGGGCGGUAGACAACCACGGGCUGUUUCGUGCUCUUGUUGAUGAACAGGUACUUGUCACCUGAAGGGGGACAACAAAUGGCCUGUCUGUCAUACGGUCUCCUGCCGGUGACCCGUACAUCAACCUACCAAUACAAACAGAUUUCAGCCACCAACCCUGAAGAAAAGAUGGAAAUGGCACUCACCGCCAACCUUCUGGCCGGCCAGCUCGGAAACCUGGACGUUGUGCGCCAGCCGCAAGUCCUCAUCGGUCACCACCUUCUCAAAGCUCCACAGCUUGCACUUGUUCUCGUUGGAGGCCAUCAGCACGUCCUCAGCGGAAGGCCAGUUGCUGUAGGACGAGCACCACGCAUGGUAAGCAGGACAAAGCAAUAAGAUCAGCAACAAAUUGAGGAUUGCAAAAGUGAGACAGCAAGAUAAAGGGACAACCACAAACAUAUGCCCACCAUUCCUCACCUGUUGCUGUUCCAGGCCGCACGGAUGUUGUUGAACUGCUCGUUGCCGGCAAGGCAGCGGUCCACCAACAUGGCGUUGUUGUCCAAUGUAAUGCGCAUGAUGGUCAAACCCGAGCCCUCCUGACCCUUAGCCAGCGCCUCCUUGGACUUGGCCAGGCGGGUGUGGUAGGGCGACGCAGUGGGCGCGCUGGCCUUGGGCGUGGGUGCGACGAUGUACGGCACACGCGGCGGCUCCUGAGGGGGGCUUGGCGGGUCGGGCGGUCCACCGGCCGUGCCAGGGCUGUAGAAGUAAGGCUCAGUCACCUGUGCGCGACAUGAGUAAAACAGGCAGAGUCAGCAUAGAUGCAAUGAUCAGUGUUCUUGGCAAUUCCCAGCUUCUCCGGCACACUCCCGCGCACAUGCCGUGACAGCCUGCCAGUAGUUCCCACCUCCGAGGUGUUGGUGGCAUGGACGUGAGGCUUGGACGACAAGUAGCCAGCACCGCCGGGGUAGCCAGGGUCAUCUGGAGACAAGCACUUGAUGAUGGAGGGCGUGCCACUGCUGGCAGUAACGGAGCCAGUAGGGCCAGUGAAGCACCACCCAUCAUUUGCAUUCUCAUCCAGGUUGAGGCCGUCCAUCAGGGUGGUUGCACCCUGCAGGCAGGGCAGGGAAGAUCAAUAAAUUGCGGGGGUUUGCAGCAGGGGUUGGAGGGGCAAUUUGGUCUCUUCACAGCACAAGGUGGCCCCACCAUGCUUCAGAUUGUCCUGCAAGAAGUCAUCACCAACUGGAAGAACUGGGCUUGUAUCCGCGCCCUUGUCGCCCAAAAACCCUACCCAACCCUACCGUAGAGCCGGUCUCGAAUACGUAAUCCGCAGAGGGCGAUUCGAUUGGCCUCCUCAGCAUCUGUGGGGAUGCAAGGCAGAGCGUAAGUAAUGAAGCUUUGGCAGGAAAACAUUGGCGCGGAAUUGCGAUCGUUCACACAGACGAACUCCAACGCGAGCAUAGCUGCAGGUACCAACCUUCACAAACUGCAAGGACACAAGCGCUGACGUAGGUCAGCGCGUCAACCAAGAUGGACGUCGUUCGCCAAGACGCACAAGGGUUUUGCGCGCCUUUCCCGCGCUUGCCUCCCUAAAGGGCCCAGGUCGCUCCGGUACGGCACCAUGCAUCGCUCCAGGGUACAACGCUCGCCAACACACCCAAAUUACAACACCAAAGCGAAACGGAAAUGCGACAGAGCGCAUAUCGUCUGAGACAAGGCUGGUGCCAGGCUAGUGCAAGGCUGGUACCAGGGUGCACGCAUGGCCCGUGCCCACACGUUGUUACUUCGCUUUGUUUGUAGACUAACUUUCAACAACCAAAACACUAUUAUGGCGCCUCAGGACUAUAAACCAGACUGCCUGCCUCACUUAGAAUUCCAGUUCGAUCCUGAGAGGCCCCUCCGAACGCAAUUACUUGUGGCCACUACUGUUGGACGGAGGGAGUGGUCGUAUACGGUGCUUGACAGGCAUCUUUCCUCACAACACGGCAAAGCUGCGGGAUGGUGGUGUGGAACCGAAGCCCCGCAAAGCCCGGACACAGUACCGAUUGAUAAACCUGUCACCAUGUACGAGGCAAACAAGCUGGCCACAGCCAAGCCGGGCGCAAAGCCGGGACACAGCGGCUACUGGAAGCGGUCUUCCAAGGCGUACAUGCAAUUGGGCGGCUGGGCCGCCAUCCAUUCCACCCCUCAGCUCUCGGCCUACGCGGAUUCCUUUUAUCAGCCUUCCAUGACCACGCUGGUCGCUGCGCUCGACGCUCUGGAGCUGCAGGGACCAGCUGGACCAGCCACAGGGUCGGCAGUACCAUCAGCAGCAGCAUCGUCAGCGGCAGCUGCUGCCGCCCCCACCCCGCUGGCCGCACACCUGCCCGGGCCCUCCAGCUCGGCACUCACUGUCCCUUGGGUGGACCUGUCAUAUGCGGCCGUACGGCAGCAGCGGGAGCGCAUGGACCUCCAGUCUGUUCGUCGCCGGGCCGGUGGGGGCUUUGGGGAUGUGUACGUCAUGUCGCUUGAGGACAUGUCCGCUGGGCAGGGAGAGGUGGUGGUGAAGCUAUACCGGCGUGUCAUAGAGAAGUCAGGGGACGUUGCGGCUGAUCGCAGCGCGUUGGGCAAUGCCAUCCGUUGGGGAUUGCAGUGCGCGCGCCCUGACGUCCUGCCGCUGAGGGGCCUGGUGCGUGAUGUGUCAGGCGAGGCGGUGGGCGUGAUUUAUGAGCACUUUCCAUCCACACUUGAGCGCUGGAUCACAGCAAAAGAUGAAAAGGAGCGGCCAUCAAAAUCGCUUAGCCAGCUGUGCGGCGUGCUGCGUGAUGCGGCUGUCGCCACCGAGUACCUGCACUCGCUAGGCUACAUUCACCGCGACAUUAAACCGGCCAAUAUCCUGGUAAGUUGGCGCUCCUGUUAACGAAGUGCGCAUUCUGGGUUGUAGCUUUGUGGUGAUCAAAUGUGCUUGUGAUCUCAUUGCAGGUCACAACGGAAGGCCGCGGCGUGCUGGGCGACCCGGACCUCAUCACGGCAAGGAAGCAGGAGCGGGGGCAGGCAAGUGGAAGGUUAGGGGUUGCAAGGAUAUCGGCUGGGGGCGGGGGGGGGGGAUCUGCUAGUGCUGUCCUGUUGACCGACAACCUCACCUCAACAGCCAGCAAUCGAUUAUGGAGCAAGCGUCAACCCCCUGCUAUUUCCCUUCAUUCAAGCAGGCGGGCACACAGGGCUUCCGUCCCCCGGAGGGAGAAGGUGGCGUGACGGGUCCUGAUGCGCGGCACAGCUACGGAUUCGACGUGUACAGCAUGGGGAUGGUGUUGUACGUCUUGAUGGUUGGUAAACUCCCUGCGGAAGAUGCCAAUCUGCGGAAUGGGAUAACAAUGAGCAUGGAUGCUCGGAAGCGUUUCUGGGGCACCCUGGACCAGGCUCCAACUGGAGCGGCGGCAUGCACGGAUGCAAUGGCCAGGCUAGUACAGGUGUGUUGCACAAAAUCACCGGGUGAACGACUAAAGAAUGAAAACGCAAGUGAAAAGACGGUAAUGGCGCGGUUUGUGUUCGAGCUAGACAAUGCACUGGCUAUGCUGCACAAGUGAGUUGGUGCUGUGGCUUUAGCGAGGGCUGCGGAAUCCAAUAGAGGAGUUGCUACUCCAGUGUGGGAACGGGCUUACAAGGCGCUGAUGCACGCAAGGUACUUCGAAUCUUCAAAGGAGUUGCUAGUCACUUGUCAAGGACGUCCGUAAUAGUCACGUACAGCAGCCACCACCAGCCAGCCAUGGGCGCGACUGUCCACAGCGUUUACUGUCGGUUACGGUAACAUGCAUGUGAAUUCACCCUAGAGAGUCAACCAGCCCCAGCCAAGCCACGGCUUACCUCCCUGCUGCAGCGCUUGCUCCGUGAAGACCUGGCUGCGCGGCUUUUCGCCGCUGUUGGGGUUGCGCCUACGCACACGCGGUGCGAAGGCGGGGAAGGCAGCUGUGAUGGCUGUCCUGACGACCUCGCGGAAGGCGUGCGCUCCUGACGCGCCCUUGUACUUGACGCCACUCUCCUUCCAUUUGACCGAAACCAAGCACGCGCCGAGCGGCUUGGGGGCCACGUCGACGUCGGCAAGGUGAAGGAAGUCCGUGUACUUGACGCUAGUCGUGAGCCCAAACACAGGCCCUUCCCAAACUGUAACUCUACCCUCCUUGAUAAGGUCAAAUAUAGGUGCAGUCGGGUCCUCUGCGAUAGUCUGCAAAAUGCCAGACAUCCUUGCAAGCCAUGGCCUUAAUACAUUCUCUAAUGAAAGAUUAAGUAUGCAACGUGGCUCAUUAACUAAUACAUAUGCUUUCGCGACUAAAGACGCCAAGUCAGGGGCUCACAUGCCAUCCGGCGUCCACAAAGGGCCUUUUGAAAACAUAGUUGCAAUUCAGUAUAGCUGUAUGAAAUCUGAAUACAAACUACUUACGGGCGCUGCGGUAGGCGCGACUUGAGGACCAGUCGCGAGCGCAGCCAAGAAUGUGGAUCCCGGUUCGCUCAUGAAUAUUGGACGCGCCCACCCCAUCAUAUACAUAUUUAGAAUUACUUCUCAAGUGUAUUAAUAAGCCACAACCGCCUCCUCUGCGUUUCGUUGACCUCGCGUUUCCUCACAACUCCCCCCACAAAGUGGGACCCUGAUUCCAUCGUCCAAGGCACAGCCGACUCCCUGCUACUCCUUCCCCUUCCACACCCCAGCCCCAGUCUGCAUUCCCAUGCUUUCAACUUUGCUGCUGGGGGGAACAGGGCUUGGUCACAACAGGCCAGAAGUAUCCAGGCGGGUUCCAACGGAUAUCAAAUUGUCAAAAACGUCACGCCCCUGGGCGCAGCAGACCAGUACAAAAAUGUAUGUCAAGUCACCAAACAUUGGGGGGUUCCCUGAAAGAUGUAGCUGGAGAUUGGAGCAGAGCGCCCGACCCUCCUUUCCCUUCCCUUCCUCCCCUCCAGUCCCCUCUUGAGUCCCCUCCUGUCCCCUCUGUCCUCUACUGCCUCUACUGGACACAAGGGGCACUAGGGGCACUCGCAGACACUAGCGCCUCCGUAAUUGCAUGUGUUUUUGUGCUCAUUACAAUUUUGGACGCUGGCGGCUAGCGGGGUGCACCUUCCAGGACCGUGUGGGUUUCGCGGCAUGUUCGCAUGUUGCGUUCACUCUAUGGCUAGAAGCAAUUAUCUGAAAGGCGGAGUUCUGUGUAACUCGCAUUGUAUUAUCGACUGACUCUUAUCAUCUCAGGCAUAAAAGCCCAAGCUCUAGCACGCACGUUCUGACCGGCUGCCUUCGCUUCUGUCUUUGGGCCAAAUUGGACUUGCGGGGGUUCAAGUCACACGUGUUGGUAACAUGUUGCUGCAGCGCCAUGCGCCAGGCUUCACCAAGGUUCCGUCUCGGCAGUGCAAACCGAGCGUACCGAUUGCAAGGCAACCGCGCAGCAGCGUGUGUGCUCGCGCCACUCCCGGAGCAGAUCUGACCACGAACUAUGUUAUCGAGCCAGUCAGCUUUGGUAAGGGUUUGGAGUUGACAGAUGCCGGUCGCUGAAUCGCCGGAACAUUUGUUUUCCUUCCCCGUGCCCCGCUUCUCCACGUGCUUAGACCAACGUGAAACUGUACACUAAAUAAUUGCAGGUGAGGAUGCCGUUUUGGAAUGCCCGGAGAUGCGGUCGAAGCUGGUGGUCAGGUACGUGGUUGCUGAGGCGCGGCCCGCACCUCCCGGCUUGUGCUGACCCGCCGGGACCGGUUCCUUAUGUCCACAGGCCCAGCCCCUUUGUCACUCACAACAACUUCGGUGGCGGCUUCGGUAAGGCGGCGGCUACGGAGGCAUACGCACAAUGGGGAUUGAGAGAGCUGUGUCGUGCCUGCCGGAGGGAGUGACGGCGUGGCAAUGUCAAUCCGGGGCCGCCGACAGCCAGAACUACAACCUCUCACUGAGCCUGAAAUCCAUGGCCCGUGCACCACCAACAUUGGUACUAGAGCCCAGGCCCAGUCCUGCCGUUGUGCACGUGCGUCCCGCCAUUCAACCGCAACUCCUGACCCUGUCUCCCUGCCCCACAGUGUCUGACCAGGACCGUGUGGCGUUGAACUCCAUGCGCUUUGCCUCCCCCGACUCCGCGGGUGAGAGGCUUCACGGGCGUGCUAAUUUGUGUUUGUGAAGGACAUACCGGUCUGGCAUUGUGGGAGGCCGCCUCACUGGGCCUGCGGUGGCGGGUGUUGGUGCCUAUGGGUGUCCGGCGCCAUCUCACAUCCACACCAACCCGCAUUCCCAAGCCACGUCAAGCAGCCGCACCAACCCCACCAACCCUUUCCCAACCCCCUCUCCCCCUCUCCUUUGCCCCUCCCCCCUUCUCAUCCCCAUCCUCUGUCCCCGUACCCCCAUACCCCUUCACGCCCACAGGCGCCAGCCGCUCCAACUUCUUCCCGCACGGCGGCAAGGGCGGCAUCAACGUGCUGGAGGCGUCCAUGGACCAGCUGAACAUGACGCUGCCGCCCUGGGCCAUCCGCGCGGGGGCGAGGCGGGAGAUCUACUUCGACCCCUCGCAGGUGCGGAGCGUGGAGGGAGGGAGGGAGGGAGGGAGGACGGGGGAGGGAGGGCCGGGGAGGGCCAGGGAGGGCCAGGGACAACUCGAGUGUCUUGUUGCCCGCUGUACCUGGUGCCGCAAUCCUCUUUCUAUUAGCCAUGCAACCCCCACGUUGUGCCCUGUGACUGCUGCGCCCGCUGCAGACCACCGCCGCCAUCGUCACGUGCGGCGGCCUGUGCCCCGGCCUCAAUGACGUCGUACAGGUGGGAGGGGGGCCUGAGAGGAUGAGGGGUGGGGGAGGGGGCUGUAGAUAUUAGCCGAAACUGAACCGAACCCAAUGCAGAAGGACGAGGAGGAGAGCGUGGGGGGAGGGGGAUGUGGGGUGGGGUUGGGGGGUUGUUCAGUCCAAACCCAACUAUAUCGAGACCAAGCCAGCCCACAGAGCGCGAGGUAGGCGUGGCCUUGCCCUUCUGUCUUGGACAGUUUGACAACCUUGAGCCUUGUUCUUUGGGGGACUGGACCACGGGCUGCAGCACGACGCCUUGUGCCGGAGCACGACGCGUGUAUUGUACUGGUGGGCUGCGCCCCACGGCUGCGCCCACUGGAAACGCAAAUGGGGGAGCUGCGGCGCGGUUCUGUGCCUGGGCCGCACGCCCACGCCACCGCUGUUUGGGCUGGAACCAACUAACCCCACGCCACUACGCCUUCCCCCACCCCCAGGGCCUGGUGAACAAGCUGACUGACUACGGCGUGCCCGAGGGCAAGAUCCUGGGCAUCAAGUACGGAUUCAGGUGGGGCAGCGAGCGAGCGGCCGACAGGGCAAGUUGGAGGGUGCGGGUGCGGGUGAGACGUGGUGAAGCGGAAGAGAGCAGCGUGUGUGUGUGUAUGUAUGUGUGCGUGCGUGCGUGCGUGUGUGUGCGCGUGUGUGUGCGCGUGUGUGUGCGCGUGUGUGUGCGCGUGUGUGUGCACGUGUGUGCGCGCGUGUGCACACCUGUCAGGCGUACACGCGGCUGCGCACCGCUGCAUUUACCCUACGGUCCAACAGCACGGCACGUCGCCGCUUCCAUCGCUGCUGUCACUCCCACAACUUACUUCCUCAUGUGCCUUCGCAUGACCCACCCUGAUCUCUCCUCCGCCCCUCCCAAGUGCUCUCCUCUUCCGCGUGUGUGUGCACCACUGACUGCACCUGCGCGCAGGGGCUUCUACGACCCGCAGGUAAAGCCCAUCGUGCUGAGCAAGCGCGUGGUGGACGGCAUCCAGCUGCAGGGCGGGACCAUCCUGGGCACCAGCCGCGGAGGAGCCAACAUCAGGUGCGGGGGAGAGGGCGUGGGGAGAGGGGGAGAGAAGGGGGCGUGGGAGAUGGCGGAUGUGGGGUUAAUUGCCCGAGACGAGCGUACAGGGGUCAAAUUGGGCGGCAUCGCGGAACGGGAGGCUACUGGGGUGGUGGCGGUAGAGGAGGAGGAGGACGUCGGACGGUGGUGGUGGGAUUGGGGGAGCGAGAUGGGCAUGCGUGGCUGUGUGGAUGACGGCCGACAACUGCCGGUAUUCGCACGCUCACACGCUGCGCGUUGCGUGCCCUAGUCCGCACCCAGUCCACCAACUCAACGCCCUCGGGAUUCAUGUCACACCACGCAGGGAGAUCGUGAAGCGCAUUGACAUGUGGGGCAUUGACAUGCUCUUUGUGGUGAGUGGACAGGUGGGGGGGUAAAUGCCAAACCCAAAUAAACCAAGACCCGGCCAGCCCGCAGAGGGGGAACAAAGAGGGGUGACAGCUUGGGCGUUACACAUCCCUCUGUGGGGUAACCCCUCCGCCCGGCUGCCUCUUUUGACAUUCCUCGCACAUAAAACAAUUCUGCUGGUUCUUCGUCGCCUUAGAAGCCCUCCGGAACCUGCUGCAUCCAACCCGGCUACUCCCACCGCGCACUCACCCCCCCCCCAUGUUCCGCAAGAUGGUCUACCGUCUACCACUUCCUUAACUAAUCAUGAAUGUAAACCCCCCCCCCACACCCACACCCAACCCACUCACCCCGCAGGUGGGCGGCAACGGUGGCAACGCGGGCGCCAACGCCAUCAACGCUAUGUGCCGGCAGCACGACGUGCCCUGCUCCGUGGUGGGCGUGCCCAAGUCCAUCGACAACGACAUCCUGCUCAUCGACAAGUGCUUUGGCUUCGACACGGCGGUGGAGGAGAGCCAGCGCGCGCUCAUGGCGGCAAAGGUGCGGGUGCGGGUUGGGGGGCACCGGGCCUGGUUGGCAGUUCUCUCUUGCUUUGCCUCUGCCCGCCGCCUUCUCAGCCAACGUCUCACACGAGCAUAAUCGCAAUCCUGUUUAGAACUUGCCAUGCCAUGGACCCUCGUGUCUGUGGUCUCCCUCGUUUGUUCUGGAAGGGCCUCCUUCCAUGGUUGACAAACUAAACCGAACCAGGCCAAACUAGCGGAGCGCACGCAGAGGGGGAAGGGCCACUGAGCCUGGUGGCAGUCCUCUCUUACUUCGCCUCUUCGCCGCUUUGGUUGAUCGAAGGACCAAUGUUAUCUCGACUUGUGCUCUCACGCCACGCCUCCACAGGUUGAGGCCAGCAGCGCGCGCAAGGGCAUCGGCCUGGUCAAGCUGAUGGGCCGCCAGUCGGGAUUCAUCGCCAUGCAGGUGCGGGGGGUGCGGGAGGCCGGGCGGGCAGCGGCGGAGCCGGGUGUGUGUGUGCACACACAUGUAGGCGCAGGAGGAGGCAGGGGCAUUGUACAAUUUGCGUCGGAGCCUGCAUGCUGUGCGUCUCCCCUCCCUGCCUCCCUUCAACCCGCUACAACUCCACUCCUAAAUGAUUGUGCUGCAUCAUCUGCCCCCCAACCCCGCACCCCCCAGGCCUCCAUGGCCAGCGGUGUGGUGGACGCCUGCCUCAUCCCCGAGGUCAACUUCAAGCUGGACGGCGACAACGGGCUGCUCAAGUACCUGGACGGCGUCAUCAAGGCCAAGGGGCACGCGGUGGUGUGCGUGGCGGAGGGCGCGGGGCAGGUGAGGGCGUGGGCGCGGGGCAGGUGCGGGCGGGGCAGGUGAGGGCGGGGCAGGUGCGGGCGCGGACUGUUGGAGUUGGAGUUGGAGUUUGGGGGAAGGGGGGUGAGGGGAAGGGGGAGGUGGCGGGAAGGGGGGCCUGUGGGGCUGUGCAUCAGUCUCUUGACAGCUGAUGUGCCGUUACACGAAUACACACGGCACAUCGCCUGCACCAGUGCAACGUAACCCCCCUGCCCACCAUCUCACCCCACACCCCAACCUGACUUGUCCUGCCAUGCGUAUCCGUGUCUCUGGCUACUUUUCAGAAUGUACGGUAGCAACAACCAUCCCGCACCCACACACACCAACACACAACACAUGCACACGCACACACAAACAAACAAACAAACAAACACACACACACACACACACACAUGCACACGCACACACGCCUCUCACUCCACCAGGACAUUCUGGAGGACGGCGGCCAGAUCGGCACCGACGCCAGCGGCAACCCCAUCCUCAAGGACAUCGGCGCCUUCCUCAAGGACAAGUUCAAGGCCUACUUCAAGGACGCAGACAUCAAGUGAGCGCGUACAGUGUGUGUGGGGGCGGGAAGCAAAUCAUGCCCCUAUGCCCCUCCUCGCCUCGAUUCCUUGACAGUUGGGACCUAUUACGUUGAGCUCGCGCAUAUGACCCCCUCCUCGCCCCACACCACAAUAAACUCUUUGUAUGUACCCCCCCCUCAUAAACUCAUUGUAUGUAACCCCCUUCAUGAACUCAUGAAUUGACCUCCCCCCCCUUUCCGUCCUGCAGGUACAUCGACCCCUCCUACAUGAUCCGCUCCGUGUCCACCACCACCAACGACCGCAUCUACUGCAAGAUCCUGGCGCACAACGCCGUGCACGCCGCCUUCGCCGGCUUCACCGGCAUCACCGUGGGCCUGGUCAACACGCACUACGUCUACCUGCCCAUCCCGGUCAUCAUCCAGGCGCCGCGCAAGGUGAGGGGGGUUGUAAAUACCAGCCCAAACUAAACCAAACCCAAUGCAAUAGGGGGAUUGCUGUCGUGGUGGUUGGUGGUUGGAAGCAUGUGGGUUUGUGUGCGUGUGUGUGUGUGUGGGGGGGGGGGGGGGUAAACUCAAGCUUGUGAGGGUGAGGUGUGGCUGCGGCCUGCGCUGACGUACGCGGAUGUGCCGCGCCCGCCCUGCCUGCAGGUGGACCCGCGCGGCAAGGCCUGGAACCGCCUGCGUGCCGCCAUCGGCCAGCCCAGCUUCCAGUAAGGAGGAGGGACUGACGGCGCUGGGCAGAGGAUGGAAUGGCGAGGAAGAGGAAUGGCUAGGACGAGAGGUUGAGGGGCGGCGAGAAGGUGCCGGAGGCAGGUGCAAGCAGGAGCACGCUCGCAUGAGCGGGCGUGGAGGCAGCAGUACGGAGGCGGGGGAGAUUGGCAGUACUUUGUGCAUCCAGAGGAGGGUUUUGUGCACCAGGGCAUCACGGGGCAAGCAUGCGCGUCCGUGGGGCCAGUGUGUGACUGGGCGAGUGCCACAGCUUGAGGCCGCAUUCGACAUUGAUGUGCCUAGACAGGUAGCUUGGGUUUGCACGCCGCGCCGCGCGAAACACGUAUCAUCACGAGGCAAUGCAGCUGAGACCAAUACAUGCACGUGCACGUGCACUGCGCCUGCGCGUGCUUCUUCUUACCUAGCUGAUUGGGAGGCGUCUCCGUCGUGUGUCACAGGGCUGCCCGAUAUUAUUCUUUGAGCAUGAGUGUGUUUGCGGGGUGUGUAGGCACUAGGCAGUGCGUCCAUGCAUGGCGGGCGUGGGGCGGGCAUUCCUUCCCACUGCUGCCUGCGGGUAAUGUACAACGUGUGAGCGGCACGUGACGGCUCACGGUGUUGGUGCACGGAGAGGGCUGGCCAGCUGGACGGCCCCGGCAACGAACACCGCUGUGUGACUCUGUGUGAGGGAUCAGGCGUGUAACGUACAAGAGCUGUCACUUGGCACGCUUGAGCAUGCGCAUUUACUGGAUGACCGAAGAUGCGGUUAUGUUGGCAGCUCGCGCAUCGCUGGGAGUCAUUGCACGGCGUGGGCCGUAUGGCAGUCAUUGCCCGCGUCCCGCUCCCACAUUCUUCCGACUUGAAACGCUACCUAGGCCAUUCAGCAAUCAGCAUCCGUGCCUCAGUAAUCAAUCUAAGCGUGUACGCAAGACGCCAACCGAUAAGGCCGUGCCGCCUGGCUUUGAUGCUCAUCACCGGCAUGCUUACGGCACGUCGUUCUAAAGGUCUAUUUUAAUCGGAGUGCAACGCAGAUUAAAAUUGGUUUUGAAGUAAGGCGUAAGACAAAGGUCCGGACAUGCGUUGUGUUUGAGGUGGGUGGAGUGCGGAGGACAUGGGGCGUGCCGGUUUGGCCCUGGAGCCUUGGGUGGGCAAUGAGCAGCCGGAGCAGCUCAGUCCAGUUGUCUUUGAUUUAUUGCCGGCAUUACUGCGAGCGGUAUGUGGCCGGCUUUUAGCAGCUUUUCACUAGUCUUGCACAACUGACUCGCAUUGAGUUUUGGCCAGACUUGCUUACAGUUACAGCGCAUUACCCCGAUCAAGCUUUUCUCAGUGGCUACCAGAUACUGAUCUAUCAAGGACAAAGAAAAUAAGAGCGAGAAGUGAAAGGAAAAAGAAGGCCACAGGCGGCACCACGCUCCUGCUUGUUUGCGCGCAGCCCGUAGGGCUGUGGCGCAUUCCUUCCAGGCAAACAGGAUUUCAGCAUGCCAGAACUCAUGCGAUUAGACCGCGAUUUCUUGCGUUCAUUAGCCGGGCCGGAGCUCGGUCCUUGGAUCAGAGCAGCAUCAACCAAUGCAGCAGCAAGCGCUUUAGUACACCAGCGACAGCAGCGGCAGAGGAGCGGCCCACACCGGGCGAGUCCAGAGGUUUGUGGUGUCUGUGCAGGGUACGCGGCCGGCCGACAAAUGGGAUGUGCCGCAUUGUAUUUGAGCGUAUUAGUACUUUUUUCCCGUUGAGUCCAUGGCACUGGGUGACAGGCCCCCGGCUGGUGCCCGGGUCAACAAACUUCCGGAGGGUCCCGGGUGAACAAACCUUCCGGCUGGUGCCCGGGUGAACAAACCUCCGGUUGGGCAUGCCGGGUGAACAACGCCUCCGGCUGGUGCCCGGGUGAACAAACCUCCGGCUUAGCAUCCGGGUGAACAACUGCCGGCGUACGCGGUACGCACUAACAUGCUCUAGCUGUGUGAUGCCUCAGAAUAACCGGCUUAUCAUCGGCAGCAGCAAAGAAUGGGUACAACGGGUCGGCGUGCAGGCGGCAGGAUCACCAGCUGCAGCGGUGCAACCUGCUGCAGCUUGCGCGGCGGGGUUCCCAGGGCGCAGCAGCAGCAAAGGCGAGGCAUAACGGGGCGGCGGCCGAGACGGGCGGUGGCUAGCGGGGGCCGAAGCCGCCACCGCCGCGACACAGUGCCGCUGUCGGCACGCUGCAGACUGAGAAAUCUAGGAAUGGUGAGGGGGGUGAUGCUCAGGGCGGCGCCUGCGGGGUGGCUUGGCGCCGCCUGCUCUUGGCGGCGUCUGCGGGCCGGUUUGGCGCCGCCUAAGACUAGCAGCACCCCGCAGAUCGUAAGGCAUGGCUGGAGCUGAUGGUGGAACGGGGCAGUGCAGGCGUGGGACAUGCGGACGGCCGCAUUGGCGGGUCGGAGCAAACGCUGGGACGAGAGUCAGCUGCGGCUUGCGGAUUCGUGUAGGGGGGAUGUAUGGGCACGCAGGAAUGUGAAUGGGGGUAGUUGCUGCCCGGCGUGUUGAGAAGCCGGCCGGGCAGACUUUUGUGGGCGGCGGCCGUGACCGGCGCCGCCAGGCCGUGCCGCACGGGGGCCUAAAUGGAGAUAGGUCUUUGCCCCGCGGCACGGCUACCAAGCCCCUCUUCUGUUUCGCUGCCUCCCGGAUAUUUGGAGCUUUGCCAUUUUGUUUGUGGAAAGGGACGGGCCGCGCAGGUGGCUGUAUGGGUGUGGCCCUUUUGAGACGGAUGACAUCCAGACAUGACGAGUAUGUGGCUGUACGGAGUGAGGUCAUGUGUAAGCGUGCGUGGUGUGAUCUGGAAGGACCUCUUGUCUGCAGCCGACCAUCUCAAAGGUCUAUUUUAAUCGGAGUGCAACGCAGAUUAAAAUUGGUUUUGAAGUAAGGCGUAAGACAAAGGUCCGGACAUGCGUUGUGUUUGAGGUGGGUGGAGUGCGGAGGACAUGGGGCGUGCCGGUUUGGCCCUGGAGCCUUGGGUGGGCAAUGAGCAGCCGGAGCAGCUCAGUCCAGUUGUCUUUGAUUUAUUGCCGGCAUUACCGCGAGCGGUAUGUGGCCGGCUUUUAGCAGCUUUUCACUAGUCUUGCACAACUGACUCGCAUUGAGUUUUGGCCAGACUUGCUUACCCACCCGCCCACCCUGCAAGUCUGUUUGGAAAGUGCCCGCUGGCGUUGAGGGGUCUUACUGCUAGGCAGCAGAAGGAAAGCGCUCUUGCAAUUGUGUUACUGCUUAUGCUACAUAAUAUCCGGGGGGUAGUUGCUGCCCGGCGUGUUGAGAAGCCGGCCGGGCAGACUUUUGUGGGCGGCGGCCGUGACCGGCGCCGCCAGGCCGUGCCGCACGGGGGCCUAAAUGGAGAUAGGUCUUUGCCCCGCGGCACGGCUACCAAGCCCCUCUUCUGUUUCGCUGCCUCCCGGAUAUUUGGAGCUUUGCCAUUUUGUUUGUGGAAAGGGACGGGCCGCGCAGGUGGCUGUAUGGGUGUGGCCCUUUUGAGACGGAUGACAUCCAGACAUGACGAGUAUGUGGCUGUACGGAGUGAGGUCAUGUGUAAGCGUGCGUGGUGUGAUCUGGAAGGACCUCUUGUCUGCAGCCGACCAUCUCAAACCUACCCUCGCGCACAUCCAACAGCCCCGUCGCCAGUGCCCAGGGUUGCCUAGUACGCGACCCUCUCUCCAUAAUACUGUCCUGGCACCAUAUGCGUAUAUACACACAAGCCUCUAGGGCUCAGCCCCUAGCCUUACGAGCCUCGGCUCGUGAGGAAGCGCACAACAUUUUCGUUGGCGGCUUUGGCUUUCGUUACUAACUUUUUGUAGCCUUUUGCGGGCUCUGUGAGGCUUUACGACUUGGUUACGACUUGGUUUGGAUGGCUUCGGCCUUGGGUGGGUGCGUCGCGCCCUGUUUUCGGC